RNAcentral lists this ribosomal RNA (468 nucleotides) under uncultured bacterium. Its description in RNAcentral is "bacterial SSU rRNA". It matches the Rfam family "Bacterial small subunit ribosomal RNA", at positions 28 to 507 of the family's 1533-position model. The record is from RNAcentral.
GACGAACGCUGGCGGCGUGCUUAACACAUGCAAGUCGAACGGUGACGAGGAGCUUGCUCCUCCGAUCAGUGGCGAACGGGUGAGUAACACGUGAGCAACCUGCCCCAGACUCUGGGAUAACAGUUGGAAACAGCUGCUAAUACCGGAUACGAGACGGAGAGGCAUCUCUACCGUCUGGAAAGUUUUUCGGUCUGGGUAUGGACUCGCGGCCUAUCAGCUAGUUGGUGAGGUAAUGGCUCACCAAGGCGACGACGGGUAGCCGGCCUGAGAGGGCGACCGGCCACACUGGGACUGAGACACGGCCCAGACUCCUACGGGAGGCAGCAGUGGGGAAUAUUGGCACAAUGGGCGAAAGCCUGAUGCAGCGACGCCGCGUGAGGGAUGACGGCCUUCGGGUUGUAAACCUCUUUCAGCAGGGAAGAAGCGCAAGUGACGGUACCUGCAGAAGAAGCACCGGCUAACUACGUG